AAAAGUCGUAGCAGGCUGAGAGGAAGAUAGUGGGUGUGGGUAGCAGGAGAGGGGGCAAGAGAAAAUGAAACGGAGCCUAAACAGGAGAAAAUCCCAUGUCUGGCUGAGCGGGUCUCAAUUCUCUAUCUCCUUUCCACGCCCAAGGAUUAACCAUCCGGGCUACCCAAGAUGGUUGAAAGUUUCAAUUUUAUUUGUGUGACUCAAUUGAUCGCACUAGCUCCUUGCUAGAAACCGGAUAAGCCAGCUGCAUAAAUAGUUGAUUCCUAUACAUGUGACCUUAAUUAUUACUUUGGAUGAUUUAGACAUAUGACUUCUGACAAUGGUGGGUUUACAAUUUAUGUGAGGAAAAGUCUAUGGCAAUAGUAGCCCUGCAAAAAAAUAGCUUUGCCGAAGUGGGGAUACUAACAAUGCAUGCAUCUGCCUCUUUAAUUUGUACUGUGUAUAAAUUUUGGUGCAUCAGGACACUAGACACGAUCCUUAUCCAUUGCUGCUGUCAUUAUACUUGAGCAUGUUUCUGUUCAUCACAAUAUUACAAGCAUUGAACAUUAAUUCCUGAAUCCUGAAGCCUCAGCUGCAACUAUUCAAUUGAAUUGUUUAUACAUAAGGAUUGUUUCGUUGCCUGUAUCCAUUGCAGCUGUAGUUGGGGAUGGAUUCAUG
Molecule: unclassified non-coding RNA, 657 nt
Filed under: Hevea brasiliensis (rubber tree)
Lineage: Eukaryota; Viridiplantae; Streptophyta; Magnoliopsida; Malpighiales; Euphorbiaceae
Source: RNAcentral